RNAcentral lists this ribosomal RNA (933 nucleotides) under uncultured bacterium. Its description in RNAcentral is "bacterial SSU rRNA". It matches the Rfam family "Bacterial small subunit ribosomal RNA", at positions 8 to 940 of the family's 1533-position model. The record is from RNAcentral.
AGAGUUUGAUCCUGGCUCAGAGCGAACGCUGGCGGCGUGCUUAACACAUGCAAGUCGAACGCGCAGCAUUCUGUAGCAAUACAGGGUGUGGGCGCGUGGCGAACGGGUGCGUAACACGUGGAUAACCUUCCUUGAGGUGGGGAAUAACCCAGUGAAAAUUGGGCUAAUACCGCAUAACAUCGCGAUGGCACAUGCUGAUGCGAUCAAAGGCGCAAGUCGCCACAAGAGGGAUCCGCGGCCGAUUAGCUUGUUGGCGAGGUAAUGGCUCACCAAGGCAAUGAUCGGUAGCCGGACUGAGAGGUUGGCCGGCCACACUGGAACUGAGACACGGUCCAGACUCCUACGGGAGGCAGCAGUGGGGAAUCUUGCACAAUGGACGAAAGUCUGAUGCAGCAACGCCGCGUGGGGGAUGAAGCUUCUCGGAGUGUAAACCCCUUUCGACCCGGAAGAAUGCCCGCAAGGGUAUGACGGUACGGGUAUAAGAAGCCCCGGCUAACUACGUGCCAGCAGCCGCGGUAAUACGUAGGGGGCCAGCGUUGCUCGGAAUUACUGGGCGUAAAGGGUCCGUAGGCGGUGUAGCAAGUCGAUAGUGAAAUCUCUGCGCUUAACGCAGAGGCUGCUAACGAAACUGCUGUGCUAGAGUGUGAGAGAGGCGAGUGGAAUUACGGGUGUAGCGGUGAAAUGCGUAGAUAUCCGUAGGAACAUCCGAGGCGAAGGCGGCUCGCUGGAUCACAACUGACGCUGAGGGACGAAAGCUAGGGGAGCAAACAGGAUUAGAUACCCUGGUAGUCCUAGCCCUAAACCAUCAGACUUGGGGUUUGCCCUGUACGGGGCAAGUCCCGUAGCUAACGCGUUAAGUCCUGCGCCUGGGGAGUACGGUCGCAAGGCUGAAACUCAAAGGAAUUGACGGGGCCCGCACAAGCGGUGGAACAU